Rattus norvegicus (Norway rat) is the source of this 794-nucleotide non-coding RNA. Lineage: Eukaryota; Metazoa; Chordata; Mammalia; Rodentia; Muridae. The record is from RefSeq and is a predicted model, not a curated record.
CUCUCUACCUUGUUGCCCUCAAUUUUGGGACCCCUUGUGGGCCUACUUUUGUUGAUUUCCUUUGGUCCUUGGGCCUUCCAACGACUUACACGCUUUAUUAAAUCACAAAUAGAUUCUGCUUUGCCUAGAAAUUCUGUUUCAGUACAUUAUCAUCGCUUGGAGACCGGAACAGCUGAGGAGAACCAGAGAGACAACGAACAAGAUGAGGUGCCUACAACUUAUCGGGAGAGGCUCAAUUUCCACAAUCUCUUAUAUUAAUGCCAUCUGGCCCUUGCUCUUUCGCCCCUGGGCUCAAGUGAGAGGAAUGAGAAGAUGACCUGAUGUACCUAUCCUCAGGGACGGGCAACUUCCUCUGACCCUUGACCAAUCUAAGACAGGAACCUUGGAGGCGACAAGAAAUAUGGGGGAGAUGCACGGAGCCAUAUUGGAUUUGGGCCUAGCCGCUUUUUGACUGCAUGGUUCAAAGUGACUCUGGGCUGUUUGGCCACAGAGACUCACCCCGAAGAUGACUGCCAUAAAUCUUAAGAUUGUUGGAUAAAGCCUCUCCCAUGAAUUUAUGGCACAGGAGUAUAACAUUCAAGGGAUGCCUCAGCUCAAGCAGAUACCAGUUAUCUCCUCAGUCAACACCCAGUGUCUUCACCACCUGACCUCAUCGCCUGACUUCUUUGCCUCCAGAUAUCACUGCCUAUACCCUCAUCUCCCCCUCCUUCAUAUUUCACAUAUUUCACUCCCCCUACCUGAAAGCCUUAAAAGCUGCAAUGUUCAUCCCAAUAAACGAGACCUUGACAACAGAA